AGUUGUAUCCUGGCUCAGAACGAACGCUGGCGGCAGGCCUAAUACAUGCAAGUCGAGCGCGCCCUUCGGGGUGAGCGGCGGACGGGUGAGUAACGCGUGGGAAUAUGCCCUUCUCUAAGGAAUAGCCUCUGGAAACGGAGAGUAAUACCUUAUACGCCCUUCGGGGGAAAGAUUUAUCGGAGAAGGAUUAGCCCGCGUUAGAUUAGGUAGUUGGUGGGGUAAUGGCCUACCAAGCCUACGAUCUAUAGCUGGUUUGAGAGGAUGAUCAGCCACACUGGGACUGAGACACGGCCCAGACUCCUACGGGAGGCAGCAGUAGGGAAUCUUAGACAAUGGGGGCAACCCUGAUCUAGCCAUGCCGCGUGUGUGAUGAAGGCCCUAGGGUCGUAAAGCACUUUCGCCAGAGAUGAUAAUGACAGUAUCUGGUAAAGAAACCCCGGCUAACUCCGUGCCAGCAGCCGCGGUAAUACGGAGGGGGUUAGCGUUGUUCGGAAUUACUGGGCGUAAAGCGCACGUAGGCGGAUUAGUAAGUUAGAGGUGAAAUCCCAGGGCUCAACCCUGGAACUGCCUUUAAUACUGCUAGUCUUGAGUUCGAGAGAGGUAAGUGGAAUUCCGAGUGUAGAGGUGAAAUUCGUAGAUAUUCGGAGGAACACCAGUGGCGAAGGCGGCUUACUGGCUCGAUACUGACGCUGAGGUGCGAAAGUGUGGGGAGCAAACAGGAUUAGAUACCCUGGUAGUCCACACCGUAAACGAUGAAUGCCAGACGUCAGCAAGUAUACUUGUUGGUGUCACACCUAACGGAUUAAGCAUUCCGCCUGGGGAGUACGGUCGCAAGAUUAAACUCAAAGGAAUUGAC
RNAcentral lists this ribosomal RNA (856 nucleotides) under uncultured bacterium. Its description in RNAcentral is "bacterial SSU rRNA". It matches the Rfam family "Bacterial small subunit ribosomal RNA", at positions 10 to 914 of the family's 1533-position model. The record is from RNAcentral.